GGUGUUUACAUCACCACAUUUUUCCUUAAAUUUUUAAAAUCCAAACAACUGAGUUUACCGAUCUUAUCAAGUCAGCCAGCAAGCACUAAGGUUUAUGUUACCCUUUCGUUCUGUUGCAGGUCCGCGUUGGAGAAGAUUUACAGCAUAUCAUACUGGUGGUACACAUGGCUAGGGCUGAUAAUUACGGUCUUUGUCGGAGUCAUCGUCAGUUUUGCGACAGGAUAUACGCCACCUAAAGAGAUAGAUAGAAAAUAUAUCCUCCCGGCAAUUGCUCAGAUAUCUUGUUUUGGAGAGGACGAAAAAGAUUUUGCUGUAGAAAAUGCCCCACUAAGGACUUUGAACCACAAUGAUGACGACAGCGAUAAGGAGAAAGAGGAAACAAUUGAAAAUCUCCGAGAUGACUAUAGCAAAUAAAGAUUUUUUAAAGUAUAUUUGUUCUCCACGUGGAAUAAAGGUGUCGUAAAGUGCAUAUCAGCUAUUUAUCAGGCAAUACAGCCUAAAAUAGACGUGCGUUAUCAUGACUUUGGGUUAUCAAGUAUGUACACAGCGCCGUUAAAACUUGUUGUAUUUUAAUUAACAGCUCCGUAAAUUACAUGACGGAUAAUACAUGAUAGGGGUAUACGGAAUAAGCUAAAACAAUGGGGCCGUCUAACCCGCAACUUUGGGGUUAUAUCGGAUCUAAAAUCGUAAUGUGAUUUUCUAUUUCUGCAGCACGGAGCUGUUCAAUAUGGUAAUGGAAAUUGUAACUUAGCCAGUCUAAUCUAUAGGCCUGCG
Long non-coding RNA from Lingula anatina, 774 nucleotides. NCBI's taxonomy places the organism in Eukaryota, Metazoa, Brachiopoda, Lingulata, Lingulida, Lingulidae. The record is from RefSeq and is a predicted model, not a curated record.